GUCCCCAUCGUCUAGAGGCCAAGGACACUGGCCUUUCACGCCGGCAACAGGGGUUCGAAUCCCCUUGGGGACGCCA
RNAcentral lists this transfer RNA (76 nucleotides) under Pseudomonadota bacterium. RNAcentral describes it as "tRNA-Glu". It matches the Rfam family "tRNA". From Rfam's summary of the family: Transfer RNA (tRNA) molecules are approximately 80 nucleotides in length. Their secondary structure includes four short double-helical elements and three loops (D, anti-codon, and T loops). The record is from RNAcentral. RNAcentral also lists the same sequence under 2 other names. Lineage: Bacteria; Pseudomonadati; Pseudomonadota.